Molecule: ribosomal RNA, 253 nt
Filed under: uncultured bacterium
Lineage: Bacteria
Description: partial 16S ribosomal RNA
Rfam family: Bacterial small subunit ribosomal RNA
Source: RNAcentral
UACGGGGGGGGCAAGCGUUGUGCGGAAUUACUGGGCGUAAAGGGCUCGUAGGUGGCCAACUAAGUCGGACGUGAAAUCCCUCAGCUUAACUGGGGAACUGCGUCCGAUACUGGAUGGCUCGAGUUUGGGAGAGGGAUGCGGAAUUCCAGGUGUAGCGGUGAAAUGCGUAGAUAUCGUGAGGAAGACCAGUGGCGAAGGCGGGUCUCUGGACAGUUCCUGACGCUGAGGCGCGAAGGCCAGGGGAGCAAACGGG